RNAcentral lists this ribosomal RNA (527 nucleotides) under Pseudomonas sp. M47copa11. RNAcentral describes it as "bacterial SSU rRNA". It matches the Rfam family "Bacterial small subunit ribosomal RNA", at positions 74 to 597 of the family's 1533-position model. Lineage: Bacteria; Pseudomonadati; Pseudomonadota; Gammaproteobacteria; Pseudomonadales; Pseudomonadaceae. The record is from RNAcentral.
GGGAGCUUGCUCCCUGAUUCAGCGGCGGACGGGUGAGUAAUGCCUAGGAAUCUGCCUGGUAGUGGGGGACAACGUCUCGAAAGGGACGCUAAUACCGCAUACGUCCUACGGGAGAAAGCAGGGGACCUUCGGGCCUUGCGCUAUCAGAUGAGCCUAGGUCGGAUUAGCUAGUUGGUGAGGUAAUGGCUCACCAAGGCGACGAUCCGUAACUGGUCUGAGAGGAUGAUCAGUCACACUGGAACUGAGACACGGUCCAGACUCCUACGGGAGGCAGCAGUGGGGAAUAUUGGACAAUGGGCGAAAGCCUGAUCCAGCCAUGCCGCGUGUGUGAAGAAGGUCUUCGGAUUGUAAAGCACUUUAAGUUGGGAGGAAGGGCAUUAACCUAAUACGUUGGUGUUUUGACGUUACCGACAGAAUAAGCACCGGCUAACUCUGUGCCAGCAGCCGCGGUAAUACAGAGGGUGCAAGCGUUAAUCGGAAUUACUGGGCGUAAAGCGCGCGUAGGUGGUUUGUUAAGUUGGAUGUGA